RNAcentral lists this non-coding RNA (240 nucleotides) under Sphingobium wenxiniae LL03. Lineage: Bacteria; Pseudomonadati; Pseudomonadota; Alphaproteobacteria; Sphingomonadales; Sphingobiaceae. The record is from RNAcentral.
CCUGCCCAUGAUCGCGCCGGUUCCCCGAGAGGGGAUUAAAAUGGGAAGGCGGUGCGGAUGGUUGCUUCCAUCCAAAUCCGCAGCUGUCCCUGCAACUGUAAGCGGCGAGCGCGAUGCACAUCGCUUCCUCUUCGGAGGAAGCAGCCACUGGGCCGCACGCUAAGUCAUGCGGGGCCUGGGAAGGCGUGCAUCAAGCCCUGACCCGCAAGCCAGGAGACCUGCCGGCGUUCUGGUCGCUCU